UACGUAGGGGGCAAACGUUGUCCGGAUUUACUGGGUGUAAAGGGUGCUCAGGUGGUUUUGUAAGUCAGAGGUGAAAUUUCGGGGCUCAACCCCGGACCUGCCUUUGAUACUGCAAAGCUUGUGUACGGAAGAGGCUGAUGGAAUUUCUGGUGUAGCAGUGAAAUGCGUAGAUAUCAGAAAGAACACCAGUGGCGAAGGCGGUCAGCUGGUCCGGUACUGACGCUGAGGUGCGAAAGCGUGGGGAGCAAACAGG
RNAcentral lists this ribosomal RNA (253 nucleotides) under uncultured bacterium. RNAcentral's name for it is "partial 16S ribosomal RNA". It matches the Rfam family "Bacterial small subunit ribosomal RNA", at positions 524 to 776 of the family's 1533-position model. The record is from RNAcentral.